RNAcentral lists this ribosomal RNA (490 nucleotides) under uncultured bacterium. RNAcentral describes it as "partial 16S ribosomal RNA". It matches the Rfam family "Bacterial small subunit ribosomal RNA", at positions 30 to 507 of the family's 1533-position model. The record is from RNAcentral.
AUUGAACGCUGGCGGCAGGCCUAACACAUGCAAGUCGAACGGUAACAGGAAGCAGCUUGCUGCUUUGCUGACGAGUGGCGGACGGGUGAGUAAUGUCUGGGAAACUCCCCGAUGGAGGGGGAUAACUACUGGAAACGGUAGCUAAUACCGCAUAACGUCGCAAGACCAAAGAGGGGGACCUUAGGGCCUCUUGCCAUCGGAUGUGCCCAGAUGGGAUUAGCUAGUAGGUGGGGUAACGGCUCACCUAGGCGACGAUCCCUAGCUGGUCUGAGAGGAUGACCAGCCACACUGGAACUGAGACACGGUCCAGACUCCUACGGGAGGCAGCAGUGGGGAAUAUUGCACAAUGGGCGCAAGCCUGAUGCAGCCAUGCCGCGUGUAUGAAGAAGGCCUUCGGGUUGUAAAGUACUUUCAGCGGGGAGGAAGGGAGUAAAGUUAAUACCUUUGCUCAUUGACGUUACCCGCAGAAGAAGCACCGGCUAACUCCGUG